RNAcentral lists this ribosomal RNA (393 nucleotides) under uncultured bacterium. RNAcentral describes it as "bacterial SSU rRNA". It matches the Rfam family "Bacterial small subunit ribosomal RNA", at positions 29 to 428 of the family's 1533-position model. The record is from RNAcentral.
AUUGAACGCUGGCGGCAUGCUUUACACAUGCAAGUCGAACGGUAACAGGCCUUCGGGUGCUGACGAGUGGCGAACGGGUGAGUAAUGCAUCGGAACGUGCCCAAUCGUGGGGGAUAACGUAGCGAAAGUUACGCUAAUACCGCAUAAGCCCUGAGGGGAAAGUGGGGGACCGCAAGGCCUCACGCGAAUGGAGCGGCCGAUGUCAGAUUAGCUAGUUGGUGGGGUAAAGGCCCACCAAGGCGACGAUCUGUAGCGGGUCUGAGAGGAUGAUCCGCCACACUGGGACUGAGACACGGCCCAGACUCCUACGGGAGGCAGCAGUGGGGAAUUUUGGACAAUGGGCGCAAGCCUGAUCCAGCCAUGCCGCGUGCGGGACGAAGGCCUCGGUUGUAA